CGUUGAGAAGUACAUUGUGCAAGUCAAUGUGUUUUGAAAAAGAAUCUUGUUAUUUAUAUGAAUAUUGUAUAGUAAGAGGUUUUAAUAAAAUUAUUUUGAAAUAAUUUUUGUUUUAGUAAAUUGAAUUGAAAUAAAAGAUAUAAGGCUAUAGUGAAGAGUACUGUAAAGGAAGGAUGAAAUAUAUUGAAAAAUUAAUUGAUGGAAAGUAGUGUUUAAGAUUCGUACCUUGUGUAUUAGGGAAUACUAAAAUUAUCUUGAAAUUUAAGGGGUCCCGAAAGAAGAAGAGUUAAUUCAAUAAGAAAGUUUUCGUUUUAAUGAAAUUUUUAAUUUUGUGUUAGUGGUGAAAUGUCAGUCGGUUCUUCAUAUCUGGUUAUUAACGAAUAGAAUUAAAUUUGUUUAUUUUUUGAUAAGAAAAGUUAAAGGAUAGGUAAGAGUAGGAGGGAAGAGCUUCUUGUUCUAUUAUAAGUAAAUGGUAAUUUGAAAUAUAUAAUUAGUGUUAAAUUAGGCUUAAAAGCAGCAAUAUU
This 524-nucleotide ribosomal RNA is filed under the name Parapenaeus longirostris. RNAcentral's name for it is "partial 16S ribosomal RNA". The record is from RNAcentral. Lineage: Eukaryota; Metazoa; Arthropoda; Malacostraca; Decapoda; Penaeidae.